Molecule: unclassified non-coding RNA, 275 nt
Filed under: plant metagenome
Description: partial contains small subunit ribosomal RNA, internal transcribed spacer 1, and 5.8S ribosomal RNA
Source: RNAcentral
UUUCCGUAGGUGAACCUGCGGAAGGAUCAUUAUCGUACAAAAUGUGUGAGGCAUGCAAGGGUUGUCGCUGGCUUUCAAUGUUGUUGCACGCCGGAGCGUGUCCUCUCACAUAACACAAUCCAUCUCACCCUUUGUGCACCACCGCGUGGGCACCCUUUGGGAUCGGACCGAUCUCUUAGGGGACUCGCGUUUUCACACAACACCCUUUUAAAAAGUGUAGAAUGACCUCAUUUAUGCGAUCAAUACAACUUUCAACAACGGAUCUCUUGGCUCUC